GCACUUCAUUCCUCAUGUAUUCCAAGCCUAAAUUCACUCAUACCUUCAGAUGAAUUCUCACUUCAAUAUGCCACAGUGAACAAUGCCAUAGGAGCAAUCUUGAAAGCUGGGUAUGGUGCUUGGCUGGGAAAAACGGAUAUCUCCAAUGCUUUCAAGUUGCUACCCAUGCACCCAUCACUGUGGCAUUUACACGGCAUCAAAGGGAAA
Non-coding RNA from Pelobates cultripes (western spadefoot toad), 207 nucleotides. The record is from the annotation of a GenBank genome assembly. Lineage: Eukaryota; Metazoa; Chordata; Amphibia; Anura; Pelobatidae.